UACGUAGGGGGCUAGCGUUGUCCGGAAUCAUUGGGCGUAAAGCGCGUGUAGGCGGUCCGGUAAGUCCGCUGUGAAAGUCGAGGGCUCAACCCUCGAAUGCCGGUGGAUACUGUCGGGCUUGAGUACGGGAGAGGCGAGUGGAAUUCCUGGUGUAGCGGUGAAAUGCGCAGAUAUCAGGAGGAACACCAAUUGCGAAGGCAGCUCGCUGGAACGUUACUGACGCUGAGACGCGAAAGCGUGGGGAGCAAACAGG
Molecule: ribosomal RNA, 253 nt
Filed under: uncultured bacterium
Lineage: Bacteria
Description: partial 16S ribosomal RNA
Rfam family: Bacterial small subunit ribosomal RNA
Source: RNAcentral